AAAUAACUCUAAUGUGAUUUAAGUUACGUUCACUAUAUAUCAACGUGACUUAACUCACGUAGGUUAUACCUCAACUUGAGUCAAGUCACGUAGGUUAUAGACCAACGUAAGUUAACUCACAUUCUGCUUGUAACAUUUGACAUAACAGCUGAAUUGGAUUUUUUUCCCUAUUUUCCUUCAUUUAUUCAUACUUUCAUACAUCAUUCGUUCAUUUUCAUCCUUGUAUUUAUCCAUUCUUGCAAUAAUUCAUUCAUACAUACAUUAAUUCAUUCAUUCAAGAUUUGAAUCAUUCAUUCAAUCAAAAUUAAGAUAGCAAAAUUAAAUCAAAAUUAAGAUAUCAUUAUAUCACAUCAUAAUCAACAUCAACACAUCUUAAACAGUUUCACAUAUUAUAAUUAACAUCAUCAUUAAGUCUUAAUGCUAUCCCAAGCUUCAACUCUCGACAACUCGUGCAACGAAGGUCGCAAAAUCUAACAAGGCACUCUGUUUCUGGGUCACUUGCGAGGCGAGAGCCUCUGCUCGCCGUGGCGAGUUCAGGUCAGAAUCCCACAAGUUUCAUUCUACAAUCUUUCCAGGUUCAAUCUCAUCCUACAUUCUUUCCUAAUCAUUAUUAGACAUGUUGAGGCACUCAAAAGCAUCUAAGGAUCAACUCAAAAGUCAAAAUCACGAAAUCUUGCAUGCUAUCUGGUCAAGCUCGCUAGCAGAGUUCAUCUGCUCGCUAUGGCGAGCUGCAACGUGCAACUCGCGAGGCGGGGAAAGGUUGCUAGCGAGGCGAGCGAUGAAUGUCGCUACGGGCAGAAGUGCAGUUUUUAUGAAAAAUCAUUAACUCUCAUGAUUUUAAGCCUAAUCUUGAUUCCAGAAUUCAUCAUAAUCAUUAUCUAAGGUCUAGGGACAAUUUCUACAUCAAUCUAACAAUUUUUCACCGUUUAAUCAUCAAUUCUACCUAUUUGACCUAAUUUCCGAUUCCUCUUUAACUCAUUCUAAUUCAUGUUAAAUGUAACCGUUGAUUCACAGACUUAAUAGAAUUGCAAAGUUAGUCUCACCCUUACCUUAUAGAUGAAAAUCGCAGCCCUCUUGGUGGUUCUCCCUUCUCUUGGCUUUUUCUCCAUUUUCUCCAAAAUUGAUCGUACGUACGUUCUGUUUUUCUAAACUAGGUUUCCCUAUUUAUAUCUCCUCCAAUUAUCUUAUCUUAUUUCUCUCUCUCUCUCUCUCCCCCAAAACUCUAAAAUCUCAAAACAACCCCUAAACUCAAUAUUUAUUUUAUUUUCAAAUCUUAUUUUAUUAAACAAUAAAAUAAGUCACAACUCCUCUUAAAUCACACAUAUAUUAUAUAAAUAUAAUAUAAACUCAUCUAAAUAACUUAUAGACUCAAUUAAAUAAUUAAAUAAUUCGAAACGGGCGUUACAUGAAGGAUCAUAAUGGCCCCUUGGCGAUCUCCAUAUGGCAGCACGUGAAUUAGUGCAAUCAUACUCCUCGACAAGCUUCCCCAAAUAGAGCUUCUUAAAGUGCUCCAUAACUCAUGCCUACAAACACAAACAAACACAACAAUAUCAACACAAGUAUAUACCAAAAAAUAUUAUCAUAAGUUAUUUAUAAUAUGCUAUAGAAAAGAAAAAAAAUAGCCAGAUGUAACCACCAAUGAAGCCAACUCCUAGGUCCAUAGCCUAUGAUAGCCAGAUGUAGAGAAAAGCAAGUGUCAUCCAACCCCAGGAUCAUUAAUGUACCCUGUAUAAGUCCUGCAUCCCCUCAAGCCAUAUCAAAUUAACGUUUUUGUUGGUCUUGGUGGCGACAAGUAUGAGGCCAACCUAGAACAACAAAAACACCUUAAUGCAGUGUGUCCUAGUCCUCUCGAGCUCCUCCGUCUCGUCCUCAUCAGCAGGCUCCUCCAACACAUUACACAUAUGCAGGAGUCUAUUGUACGACUCCUUUAGUAGGAAUACUAAUAUACCCAACCCACUGUUUCCACGUCUCCUCCUCAGCCUCAUCCUCCGUCAAACCAGCUCACUCUGCAGCAGCUCAAUACCCCUCUCAUAGUUGCAGUCAUCGUAGUCCAUGAGCCUCCCAUGGAUGGGGAGGUGCAGAAGACACCACAUUAUCUAGUGAACUGGUCAUCCCCCCAACAGGAAGAUGGAAGUUGUUGGUCUCCUCAUACAUUCUCUCUGACAAGGUAGUGAUGAGGUCAGGGCUGAUGGUAGAACACCUUGUCUUAAGGAGGUGGCAAGACUGGAUCAUCGAUCCCAAAACCAAUCAACAUAAUGUGUGGGGACUGUCAUCUUAUCACUCCUAAUAUUCUUCCCGUUCGAGGAAAGGUUCAGCUUGUGCUCCUCCCGAAGCUAAAAUACAAAAUACUAAACGAACAACAAGCCGUUAAAAAUAUGAGCAUUUGAAUAACUAAAAAAGACAUAACAAUUUAAUCCUAAAAAAACAAAAAUUAAAAUUAACAAUAAACAUUUUAACAUAAAAAUUAAAUCCUAAAUUUUUUAAAAACAUAUAAAUUGACGCGUAACAAAGAUAUAAAUUACAAUAUUUUAACAAAACAAUUAAAUUAUAAAAUUUAAAUAAACAUAUCAAUUGACGCUUAAAAAAGACAUAAAUUAAAAUAUUUUAAGAUAACAAUUAAAUCCCAAAAUUUAAAUAAACAUAUCAAUUGACACGUAAAAAAUACAUAAAUUAAAAUAUUUUAAGAUCACAAUUAAAUCAUAAAAUUUAAAUAAACAUAUCAAUUGACGCAUAAAAAAGACAUAAAUUAAAAAUAUUUUAACAUAACAAUUAAAUCCUAAAAUAAAAAAAAAACAUAUCAAUUGACGCGUAAUAAAUAUAUAGAUUAAAAUAUUUUGACAUAACAAUUAAAUCUUAAAAUUCAAAUAAACAUAUUAAUUGGCGCGUAACUAAUUAAGACAUAAAUUAAAGUAAAUAUUAGAAAUUUUAACAUAACAAUUAAAUCGUAAAAAUAAAAUAAACACUUUAAUAUGACAAUUGAAUCGUUAGAAAACAAUAAUGAAAACAAACAUAUAAACAUAUCAAUUAAAAUAAACAUAUCAAUUGACGUAUAAUUAAAUAAAAUUAAACAAUUAAACUUACUUUGGCGUCGCUCCAAAGCCUGCAUGCCACGUGUCUACCGAAAUCCCGUAGAAGCAUCAUGUUAGUAGGCCCCCUAGGAAAAUCCACUGUUUCGGCUUCCUCUUGAGCCUCCUGCUCAGCCUCACCCUCCUGCUCAUACUGAGGUUGAUGCUCCUCAUACUGAGUUUGUUGUUGUUGGUGCUACUGUGUCGGGUCUACUACUUGCAACUAGCCCGCCUCAAACAACGACUCCUCCCCAUGCCCCCUCAUCAUACUCCUAUGUACUUCCUUAUUUGCUUCUAACACGAAGGCGCAUAAACUGUUUUUCAGCCCCUGCACUGCUGGUCAUGGUCUCCGUGCCUGCUCUCAAUUUGUCUGAUCACUCAGAAAUAUCUACACAACAUAAAUCAAUGCAAAUUAUCAAUGAUUUUCAUAGGGAUAUUGUGUCAUUUCUAACUAAUCAACAACAACAAUUCAGAUUGUACCCAAACUACCGCAUUUUGUCAUUUCAAUCUCUAAACUACAAUAUUGCACUUAAACUCACUUUAAUCAACAUUAACAAUUCAAUUUCUAACUAAUUUCAUAAUUAACAUCGCAAAAAUCAAACAAAUUUUCAUUGAGACAUUUAUCAAACACAUAAAGUUCAACAUAAAAUCUUAACAAUUUCUAAAUCUUAACUACCACAUUUGAGUCAUACUUACUCUAAUCAACAUCUAAACUACAAUUUCUAACUUAUUUGAUCAUUAACAAUCCAAAAAUAAAACAUGCAAAUCCAAUGUAAAACCUAAAAUUUUAUAACUUUUAUGAAAGAAAAUCUAACAUUUAAACAAAAAAAAAAAGCCAAUGCAAGAGUUGGAGAACACUUACUUGUGAUUAUAGUAGAAGUUGAUGUUGAUUUGGUUCAGCUUGAGCAAAUUUGCACUUGGAGGAAGAAAAUUCGAGCUUUUUGAUUUGGAAAACAAUGGUUGUUGUGUUCUAUUCGUGUUGUUUCUAUACCAAAAUGAAACGUAACUUGGUACCGACCAUGACUUAACUUACACUGGCUUAAAGAGUUCAAAAGGUUGUAGUAUGGUUCGUACCAAAACAAAGAAAUUGCAUGGAGUCUCAAUUUGGACUAGCAAAGUAUUAAAUAUAGUUAGGGUGGCUCAAAAUGGCUUUGAGUGUCAAACAAUGUGUCUCGUGUGUAUGAAAAUAUGACCAAUAAUUGAACAAAACUUAAUUAAACUUGUAAAUGGGGGAUUUUGAAUAAGGGUUGUUGUUGAAAAAAAAAGAGUAAAGGGAAUUAGAAUGAUAACUUACUAUUUCUUAAAAAAAAGAAUGAUAACUUACUAUUUGAGGUUUUUAUGCCCACGACACACAUUAAGGAUCAAGAUCCCUUCAUGAAAUAAUGUUCCCUAGGGUUAACCGCGGACUUAUAUUCUCACAAGCGUUAAAGUGGACAUUAGAAAACGUCAUACAAGGCAUAACUCCUAAUCUCUCGACGAAUUACCAUAGCGAUUAGAAUAUUCUAGAUUUGGUUAUUUGACAUAAUUGCUAAUAGAAAUUUAACCAACAUCACUUUCAAGACCAAAUGAUCCAAAAAACAUUAAGAACAAUAAAUAUUAAAUAAGCAUGAUUUGAAUAGUAAUGACAAAAAGACAAAGGAUCACGUGUUUGCCACAAUUCGAAAGAGAUUCAUCUUAAAAAUUCUAAUAUUUAAAUUGUAGUUACUCAUGGUAACUGAAUACAUCAUCAAAAAGUAAAGAAAAGAAAACAUACAAAUUAGCAAAGAGGUUGUUUACGAAUAGUUACCGAACAUUUGCUCUCAUUGCAAGAGCAUAGGCCACGAUGUUUUAGCAUGUCAUUAGCUGCAUCCUCACAAUGUUACAAAUAGAGUUGAUCAUGGUAAAAUAUCAUUGCAUCAGAACAUAGUACCAAGCCAAAUGUUCAUAAAUGGGUUGAAAAAGAAAAUAAUCGAGGUAUCGGUUCAUCCAAAACAUUUGAAGCUCUUGUUUAUUUAGGAUGGUGAUAUUGUUUCGCGUCUAGAACCCAAUGCCAUGAUGCAACUAACACUUGUACAAGCUCCCAAGGCCAUGAAAUCAUUCCACUUUGCUUUAAAUAAUGUCACAGAUGAAACAGUGGUACGCCAGAAAUUAAUGAACAUAUGCAUGUUUUUGUUGACGAUGAUGUAGAUCAAUACAUGAAGGAUUCGGUAGAAAUAGCAAAGAAGAACCCCGAUACAACAAAUGAUACAACUUCCACACAAAGGGUCCAGCCUAUAGCAACACAGCAGGAGGAUUUUGUUCCAGAAACGCAGCUCAAGCAGCCUCCUUUGUGGUUGUCACUUCGCAUAGAUGACCAAUAAUGCAAAAGGAACUUGAAUUGAUCAAGCCUUCUUUGGCUGCUCAAAAAAGAUGACAAGGAAGCUCUCUUCACACUGUAUUUGACUAAGAAUCAGCCUAUCAUACCCCGCUCUAGGAGUGAACCAUCUCACAUUCCUCAAUGAAGCUCUUCUAUUAGAAUUUUGGAGGAAUAAUCAACUAUGAUUCUCGGGUUUUCUCUCAAAAAUUGUUUUGCACAUCAUCCUUAUUUUGGUAUAACACAUACUAUUCUUGGUACAAUUUGGUGGGAGACCAUUAUGGUUUGCCAAAUUUUUUUUUUCGUAGCUCUUUUGAUUUUUUUCCUUUUGCUUUCUUUUGGCCUUUUCUUUAGAGAGUUUUGGUUUGACCCUCUUUUAUAUAUAUUUUUCCCUUUCUUAAUUAUAUAUUAUAGGUGGAUGACAAAGGAUAGAGGUGAAUUGGGGUGUCAACCUAGUUUGGAUGUUCAGUUUUUUUUUUUUUUUAUGUUUUAUCUCGUUCUUAGUUCAUUUACAUAAAAUAUUUAUUUUUCAAAUUUUAACCAUUUAAUCUUUUUGUUAAAAAUUAAACCAUUAAAC
Molecule: long non-coding RNA, 5974 nt
Filed under: Medicago truncatula (barrel medic)
Lineage: Eukaryota; Viridiplantae; Streptophyta; Magnoliopsida; Fabales; Fabaceae
Description: long non-coding RNA (MTRU_LNC008613)
Source: RNAcentral